This 386-nucleotide ribosomal RNA is filed under the name uncultured bacterium. RNAcentral describes it as "bacterial SSU rRNA". It matches the Rfam family "Archaeal small subunit ribosomal RNA", at positions 339 to 727 of the family's 1478-position model. The record is from RNAcentral.
GCGCGAAAACUUCGCAAUGCUGGAAACAGCGACGAGGGAACUCCCAGUGCCAGCACACAGUGUUGGCUUUUCUCGAGCCUAAAAAGCUCGGGGAAUAAGGGCUGGGUAAGACGGGUGCCAGCCGCCGCGGUAAUACCCGCAGCUCAAGUGGUCGCCGCUAUUAUUGGGCCUAAAGCGUCCGUAGCCGGCCUGGUAAAUGCUUGGGUAAAUCGGACGGCUCAACCGUUCGAAUUCCGAGUAGACUGCCGGGCUUGGGACCGGGAGAGGCUGGAGGUACUCCGGGGGUAGGGGUGAAAUCCUGUAAUCCCCGGGGGACCACCGGUGGCGAAGGCGUCCAGCUAGAACGGAUCCGACGGUGAGGGACGAAGCCUCGGGGAGCAAACCGG